GAGUUUGAUCCUGGCUCAGGAUGAACGCUGGCGGCGUGCCUAACACAUGCAAGUCGAACGAAGCACCUUUUGAGAUUCUUCGGAUGAUUGAUUGGUGACUGAGUGGCAGACGGGUGAGUAACGCGUGGGUAACCUGCCCUGUACAGGGGGAUAACAGUCAGAAAUGACUGCUAAUACCGCAUAAGACCACAGCACCGCAUGGUGCAGGGGUAAAAACUCCGGUGGUACAGGAUGGACCCGCGUCUGAUUAGCUGGUUGGUGAGGUAACGGCUCACCAAGGCGACGAUCAGUAGCCGGCUUGAGAGAGUGAACGGCCACAUUGGUACUGAGACACGGCCCAAACUCCUACGGGAGGCAGCAGUGGGGAAUAUUGCACAAUGGGGGAAACCCUGAUGCAGCGACGCCGCGUGAGUGAAGAAGUAUCUCGGUAUGUAAAGCUCUAUCAGCAGGGAAGAAAAUGACGGUACCUGACUAAGAAGCCCCGGCUAACUACGUGCCAGCCGCCGCGGUAAUUC
RNAcentral lists this ribosomal RNA (515 nucleotides) under uncultured bacterium. RNAcentral describes it as "bacterial SSU rRNA". It matches the Rfam family "Bacterial small subunit ribosomal RNA", at positions 9 to 526 of the family's 1533-position model. The record is from RNAcentral.